GGCUCGCUCCUGGACCGUUAAGGCAACAGUUGGCACCCAGCGUGGGGCUGGAGCAAAAGACCUCUACGAGUGCAAGUGAAACUACAGGGACGCAGAACCUGGGACGAUUGAGAGGCCUCUGGAAAUCUCCAUUGGAGCCUUGGUGUUGCCUCUGAGCCAUCCCAAGAGCACCUUCCAUGUUUCAGGGAAUCGCCCAGUGGUGAGUCACCCAGCUGCUCCCUGGGAUCUCUAUCUUUCUCUGCCCAGGUCAUGUGGUGCCUUAGCUGAACGGUUCUCAGAGGUCACCUCUCACUCUUGUACACGACUAUUGGGACGGUCGGCCAUUUUUGUGCCGAUAGUUGCACGGAGACGUCACUGAGACAAAAAGGGACGACUUUUUGCCAGUCGGUGGCUCUCAGUACCCCUGUUCUACGGCAUAGAGGCUAAGGAUGGGUUCUGGUAUGUCUUGGGAGCCUCUCUCAGAUUCACCCCUCGGCUACAUUCUCAGAAACUGGAAAAUUUUGACCCUGCAAAAGUCCUGGCCCCAAUACAAACUGGGGGACCCCCCCCCCCAAAAUGGCCUCUGAAUGGCACACUAGCUUUUGUCAAAAGCAGGGGAAGGACUCAGAAUUUCCUUACGGCCCUUCCUUCAGAAUCUGGAUUUGAGGGACUCAGGCCGCAUGUGUCUUUUUGCCUCCCUAUCUCCUUCCCUCUCUGUCUCUCUCCAUCAGAUUUCCUAGACAACCCCUACUCGACCUUUCAUAUCCACAUAAUCUCUAGGAAAGAAUUCUGAGGUUCCCUUUGGUCCAGGUCUUUCUCCUAUAUUCAAAAGCUUGAAGGAUCAAAAACUCUCCUUUAUGCUUAUCUCUCAGGUGGGGAGGGAACCAAGUUUCUCCCACUCCUAAACAUCCUAAAGAGUUCCCUUCUAACUAUUCCUGUUUCUCAGGGUGGAGAAGGACCAAGCUUCCCACACUCCUGCAAAUUUCCUUAACCCUUCAGAUUCUUCUGAUGGGACAAACACCUCACUUCCCACCAGAAGGACAAUCCAAGAAUUUUAUCAACUGAUCUACCCCUAAUAUCAGUCAAUUUGAGCAUAUUUGGUCUAUAAUUUAGGUGUAAAACUAUGACUACAGAAAGGAAAGAUGACUU
Cervus elaphus (red deer) is the source of this 1128-nucleotide long non-coding RNA. RefSeq lists it as uncharacterized. NCBI's taxonomy places the organism in Eukaryota, Metazoa, Chordata, Mammalia, Artiodactyla, Cervidae. The transcript is spliced from 2 exons. The record is from RefSeq and is a predicted model, not a curated record.